AAUCAACGCUGGCGGCGUGCCUAACACAUGCAAGUCGAACGCGAAAGCCCGCAAGGGUAAGUAGAGUGGCGCACGGGUGAGUAACACGUGGACAACCUGCCUUCGAGUGGGGAAUAACCUUCCGAAAGGAGGGCUAAUACCGCAUAACACCUCGGGACACAAGUUCUGGGGUUGAAAAGAGCAAUUUGCUUGAAGAGGGGUCCGCGCCUGAUUAGCUAGUUGGUGAGGUAACGGCUCACCAAGGCUUCGAUCAGUAGCCGUCCUGAGAGGGAGCACGGCCACACUGGAACUGAGACACGGUCCAGACUCCUACGGGAGGCAGCAGUGGGGAA
This 332-nucleotide ribosomal RNA is filed under the name uncultured bacterium. RNAcentral's name for it is "bacterial SSU rRNA". It matches the Rfam family "Bacterial small subunit ribosomal RNA", at positions 32 to 361 of the family's 1533-position model. The record is from RNAcentral.